AUCAGUGUUCGUGUCCGUGCCCGUGCAAGUGUAAACGAUAUUAGAAAAACGAUAUUUUAAAAACGAGACUAAAAAACGAGUAUUUUAAGAAAAACUUUUUUCCCUUCUGAACCGGAAGAAGAAAAAUUAAAAUAAUCUUGUUCAGGAAUCCAAUCGGCUUCAGAUAAUCUAAAUGUAACCAACCGACCUCAAAUAAAACAAUGCUGGAAAAAAACCGGAUUGGAAUCACUUCCCGAUUGAAUGCAAUUGGACUGAGAAUAUUAAUGGAAUACUUGAUAUAAGGAUACAGAACAAUUUCAGUGUAACAGAGAAAAACGAAAACCUUGAUGCGGUCACCAAUUUGAUAGAAUAUGUAAAAAUAAUUGAAACCUGUAAAGAAAUCAUAAAUAAUUGUACAAAUGAGGUAGUAGAAUAACCUCCUAGAGGGUGUGACAAGAGCGCACUCAGUUGUUUUACAACUCCUGUAACAUGGAUGAGACAUAAUAAACUACAGAAUUUAGUGA
This is a long non-coding RNA of Panonychus citri (citrus red mite), 503 nucleotides long. RefSeq lists it as uncharacterized. Lineage: Eukaryota; Metazoa; Arthropoda; Arachnida; Trombidiformes; Tetranychidae. The record is from RefSeq and is a predicted model, not a curated record. The transcript has 2 exons.